Molecule: non-coding RNA, 21 nt
Filed under: Caenorhabditis elegans
Lineage: Eukaryota; Metazoa; Nematoda; Chromadorea; Rhabditida; Rhabditidae
Source: RNAcentral
CAGGCAAAAAAUUAUAAAGAU